CAGGCUUGUACUCUCUAUUCUUAACACUGGGUAGUAGUCCCGCAAAGAAUACAUCGUUCAGCUCGCAACAUGAAAACUGUCAUAGUACUGUUCGCCCUAGUGGCUGUUGCCACAGCAAUGCAGCCAUUUUAUCACCCACAAGAGCAAUUUCCCAUGGUUGAAAUCAUGCCCAUAAAUACUUUAGAUAACAGACAGUUACCCAAAAUUUUGGAAUCUCUUGUAGGGCUUGUUGACGGGUUUCUUAAUGUUUUCGAAGCAACACGUCGUGGCGACCCUGUUGAUCGUGAGAACAUGCGUCAGCUUAGCAUUUUGCUCUCACUUUUACCUUCCAUCGUAGAAACUGUCUAUAGAAUAUUUGGUCAACCAACAUAAUUUGAAAGGGAUUUUCAACCCACAAGUGAGGUGAGACUUUAACUGGAAGACCUCAAAGAAAUGAGAGCUAUGAUGGAAAUGGACGACCUUAAAUUUCACUAUUGGCAUAAAUAAAUCUACAUUCAUGCAUGCAAAUUUUGGAGAGCCUUGUUUAUCCCAUUUCAUUCCAAUAACAGGUAGCUAGUUUAUAAGUGAUAAAAUAGUGGCUUAAAGUAGUAAUCAUCUGUCGAAGGUUCUGCAUUGUAUCCCAUACACGAUUUCUCCAAGUAUUCUUCAAUUUUUGGAUUUUUUUUAUGAAUUCAUUUACAGCGCAGCACAAACAUUGUCAUAAUACAGUUCGAACUGUCGGCUUCACGUCGGCGUACUCGUAAGCGAUACAGAACACGGACCAUACAUGGUCUAUAUUUUCCAUUUCCAGCAAACCAUGCUUCUCAUACAGAAGAACGGUACCAAUGAAAGUAAUACUAUACUCAUUUUUAAAUUGACUGCCUCAGAUUCAAAUCACCUCUAUUCGAUCGAAGAGAAUAUCCAAACAAAAUGUACGCACCAAGCGAGCCAUACAAUUGACGUCAUUCGUAUCGGUUGAAUCGAUUGCAUGCUUGUGUAAACGAACAUAGAAAUCACUUCAAGCGAUCAGUAAUGAUGUAACAAUAAUUAAAUUGAACACUAAACUAACUAAACAACGAUCAGCAAGCACUGGAAGUACCUGUAACGACCUCUGAUUAAACUAUGACUGGAGUAUAAAGUCACCCACUUAUUGUCCUGCAGUUGGUACCCAAAUCUAUCUCACGUAGCUAUUUCAAAAUACAAAGUUUACAAGGAAAGCUGUAGCAGAGCAACGACAAAUGUUGCUGCGCCGAUUGUUGAACAUAGCUUUCUUGUAGGUGCAGCAUACUAUUGUAGACUAUCGAUACUAUCGAUUCUCAAGAGAACCUUUGACUUUUCCACGAUUUCUAAGCCUUUUAUAGACAUUGAUCCGCAUUAUGGUUCAAAUUCCAAGUAUAUCAUUCUUAAUUUCGAUAGGUUCUAUUGUUAAAUUUAAUGCAUUGUAACGUUUGCUGAUGGAUGGAUGCAUAGUAAAAAGUAAAUACCUACACCCAUUGAUAAAAACGAUUGAAAACUUCGUAUACGAUAGCAACACCAGCAACCGUUAUCAAUGAUCUUAUAUUUGCUUUGCAAAACAUUUUAACAAACCUAAACGACAUCAUAACAUUUGCAAGGCUCCUCCAUGGAUAUUCAACCACACUUCAAUUAAUUAUUGCAACCUUAAUGAUGAUUGCACCGCUGCCUGCUCCAAUGUCUCCUCUCUCAACUACUAUAAAACAGUGCACUAGUGACUGCAAAGUGCGCAGUAGUUUUUAAAUAGAAAACUUCAUUCAGAACACAACAUGAAAACUGUCAUUAUACUGUUCGGCCUGUUGGUUGCGGCAAACGCAAUCCCUUUACAAAGCCAUGACCGUGUUUUUCGUGAGGAAAUAGUUUUGCUAAGAAAGCCGUUUCACAUUCCUUCAUCGUUGCUAAUCUGGCUGCCACACACUGUAAAAUCAAUCAGACGAUCCUUUAACAGACCAGCACUGCGCCAAGACAGCAGUGACCUACCAUGGUGCUCUACUAUGACCGACGAAGAGUGCCUAUUGGUACCAAAUUUCAAUGCGAUCAAAACGAAAAACCAUGAUCAUGUUUUCCAUAAGGAUGUAGUUUUAGGAAAAAGGUGGAUUCCGCUAAAUGUGAUGCAACAAAAUUUAGAAUAUAUCAGACGAUUGUAUUAUAUACCAGCACUGCGCCAAGACAGCCGUAACCUGCCAUGGUGCUCUAUCAUGAACGACGUCGAAAAAUGCCUAUUGGUACCAAAUUUCAAUGCGAUCAAAUCGAAAAACCAUGAUCAUGUUUUCCAUAAGGAUGUAGUUUUAGGAAAAAGGUGGAUUCCGCUAAAUUAGAUGCAACAAAUUUUAGAAUAUAUCAGACGAUUGUAUUAUAUACCAGCACUGCGCCAAGACAGCAGUAACCUGUCAUGGUGCUCUAUCAUGAACGACGUCGAAAAAUGCCUAUUGGUACCAAAUUUCAAUGCGAUCAAAUCGAAAAACCAUGCAAUUAGCUCCAAAACAUAAAACAAACUCGAAACUAGGCUCGAUGUAACGUUCGCAAGAGAAAGGACCGAAGAUAAUCGCAAAAUUGGUUAUAUUUAACACUCAUCUUACAUACCUCCAAUCUACCCUAAACUACUAACUACAUCGAAAUAAACAACACUCUACAAUUUACUGAUUUAA
This is a long non-coding RNA of Anopheles gambiae (African malaria mosquito), 2639 nucleotides long. RefSeq lists it as uncharacterized. Lineage: Eukaryota; Metazoa; Arthropoda; Insecta; Diptera; Culicidae. The record is from RefSeq and is a predicted model, not a curated record. The transcript has 3 exons.